GGUUGUCUCGUCAAACAAUAUAAUGGAUCAUCUUUUUGACUGAUUUUCCUCUGCAAUGAUGCCAUGAAUUUAUGUAAAUAGGCACUUCAAAAAUGAAAUAAUCUGGAUGGCUGGAUUGCAACUAUGGGUGUUUCUACUUUUAUCAUUUAUAAUCGGAUCUUCGCUUGUACUAACACUAGCCUACACCUGCAUCCUAAAUCCAUAUUGGAUAAGAUGAAAUUGAACUGCCAUUUUUCCGUAGAAGUUU
This 247-nucleotide unclassified non-coding RNA is filed under the name Hevea brasiliensis (rubber tree). The record is from RNAcentral. Lineage: Eukaryota; Viridiplantae; Streptophyta; Magnoliopsida; Malpighiales; Euphorbiaceae.